ACAGCAGUCGCCACGGGAAUACGGAGGGUGCAAGCGUUAAUCGGAAUUACUGGGCGUAAAGCGCACGCAGGCGGUCUGUCAAGUCAGAUGUGAAAUCCCCGGGCUUAACCUGGGAACUGCAUUUGAAACUGGCAGGCUAGAGUCUUGUAGAGGGGGGUAGAAUUCCAGGUGUAGCGGUGAAAUGCGUAGAGAUCUGGAGGAAUACCGGUGGCGAAGGCGGCCCCCUGGACAAAGACUGACGCUCAGGUGCGAAAGCGUGGGGAGCAAACAGGAUUAGAUACCCGUGUAGUCCCUGUCUCUUAUAC
Molecule: ribosomal RNA, 305 nt
Filed under: uncultured bacterium
Lineage: Bacteria
Description: partial 16S ribosomal RNA
Rfam family: Bacterial small subunit ribosomal RNA
Source: RNAcentral